GAGAAAGUGGAGCAAUCCAUGAGUAAAGUGGCGUACGGGUGAGUAACACGUGGAUCAUCUACCUUCUAGUGGGGAAUACCUCCGGGAAACUGGAGACAAUACCGCAUAAGCUCGUAAGAGGAAAGCAGCAAUGCGCUGGAAGAGGAGUCCGCGGCUGAUUAGCUAGUUGGUGAGGUAACGGCCCACCAAGGCGAAGAUCGGUAGCCGGCCUGAGAGGGCACACGGCCACACUGGCACUGAAACACGGGCCAGACUCCUACGGGAGGCAGCAGUGGGGAAUCUUGCACAAUGGGGGAAACCCUGAUGCAGCGACGCCGCGUGAACGAUGAAGCCCCUCGGGGUGUAAAGUUCUUUCGACGGGAACGAUAAUGACGGUACCCGAAGAAGGAGCUGCGGCUAACUACGUGCCAGCAGCCGCGGUAAUACGUAGGCAGCAAGCGUUGUUCGGAAUUACUGGGCGUAAAGAGUGUGUAGGCGGUGCUCUAAGUCUGUCGUGAAAUCUCCCGGCUUAACUGGGAGGGUGCGGCGGAAACUGGAAUGCUAGAGGGUGGGAGGGGUAAGCGGAAUUCCUGGUGUAGCGGUGAAUGCGUANAUAUCA
RNAcentral lists this ribosomal RNA (598 nucleotides) under uncultured bacterium. RNAcentral's name for it is "bacterial SSU rRNA". It matches the Rfam family "Bacterial small subunit ribosomal RNA", at positions 68 to 699 of the family's 1533-position model. The record is from RNAcentral.